Cygnus olor (mute swan) is the source of this 821-nucleotide long non-coding RNA. RefSeq lists it as uncharacterized. NCBI's taxonomy places the organism in Eukaryota, Metazoa, Chordata, Aves, Anseriformes, Anatidae. The record is from RefSeq and is a predicted model, not a curated record. The transcript is spliced from 2 exons.
GCACUUGUGGGAUGUUUUACAGAAGACAAGAACUAAGAUGAUGGUCUCACCCAAAGUCCAGAAAGGAGAACUAAGAUUUCAUGACAGUCAUUCUGAUCUGGCCUGGAGAAAGCAGAACUGAAGAUACCUGGAGGAAGCUAGGCCAAGAAUGAAAAAGCAUCAUAUGGGAACAAAUAUAAUUAAGCCAUAUUAGCUGCCAUAUUGCCCCAGAAGAGGAGUGGCAGCUCCGUAACAGCAACAGCAGAAAGAGCCCAUGAAGAAAGAGAAAAGCAGAUGGGUCUCCAAAUAUGUCAUGUGUAUGCAGGGAGCAUCCCGUGCAUGAAUUAUUUUGCAGUGGUGAUGACUGAAGCCUUCAAGAUCACCGCUACAUUAGGAGAAAAGUUAGCUAGGCAUUCUUAGACACCAGCUUCCAUUUCUUUUCUAUGAAAAAGCCAUGGAGGAAAAAAAACAUCAAGGCAGGAGUACACCAAACUAUGGUAUUGAGUCCAACCAUUUAUGGAGAUUUUCAAGACCAGCCUGGAUUUGAGAGGAAAAGAAAAAAAACAGGCCAAGGAAUGGGCUGCAAAGAGAAUCUCUAAGUCUGUGAUGCCGCAAAAGCUUGAAAGGUCCUGUGUUCCUUCACCACAGCAUUAUCCAGAAAACCCAAGAUGCUUUCAGUGAGAGGAUACCUUUGAGGAAGGAGAUGAAGUAAAGCAUUUCAGAUGCCUUGGAGUUCUUGAGAAUCUUGAAAAUGCUUGUUGGAAGCUUUUUUUUCUUUUUCUAAGUGGAUUAGAGAUUUGGUUGGAUUAGGGCCUUAAUAAAUACCUACAGUGUUUGUCUUU